Molecule: ribosomal RNA, 484 nt
Filed under: uncultured bacterium
Lineage: Bacteria
Description: partial 16S ribosomal RNA
Rfam family: Bacterial small subunit ribosomal RNA
Source: RNAcentral
AUUGAACGCUAGCGGGAUGCUUUACACAUGCAAGUCGAACGGCAGCGCGGACUUCGGUCUGGCGGCGCGUGGCGAACGGGUGAGUAAUGUAUCGGAACGUGCCCAGUAGCGGGGGAUAACUACGCGAAAGCGUAGCUAAUACCGCAUACGCCCUACGGGGGCAAGCAGGGGAUCGUAAGACCUUGCACUAUUGGAGCGGCCGAUAUCGGAUUAGUUAGUUGGUGAGGUAACGGCUCACCAAGGCGACGAUCCGUAGCUGGUGUGAGAGGACGACCAGCCGCACUGGGACUGAGACACGGCCCAGAGUCCUACGGGAGGCAGCAGUGGGGAAUUGUGGACAAUGGGGGCAACCCUGAUCCAGCCAGCCCGCGUGUGCGAUGAAGGCCUUCGGGUUGUAAAGCACGUUUGGCAGGAAAGAAACGUCGCGGGCUAAUACCCCGUGGAACUGACGGUACCUGCAGAAUAAGCACCGGCUAACUACGUG